This 1339-nucleotide long non-coding RNA is filed under the name Sus scrofa (pig). RNAcentral describes it as "lncRNA (ENSSSCG00070024200.1)". Lineage: Eukaryota; Metazoa; Chordata; Mammalia; Artiodactyla; Suidae. The record is from RNAcentral.
CAGAGGGCGCCCGCGCCCAGGCCGCUAAGCCCUCAGCGCAUGCGCUGCGGGCGCCCGCGGAUUUUGUCAGAAAGUGGAAACUCUCCGCGAAGGCUUUCCUCGCCGCUGCGGCUCGCGCCUUGCUUCUUCCCCUAGGUUCACCUGCCUGCCCGAGUGACUGAGAGCCGAGCGGACCGGCCCCCGCCGCCCGGAACGCACUUCCAGUCCCAUGGAGCCCGAACUCCUGCUCGGCAUCUCUACUUUCCGCUCCGGCUGAGCUGCUCUGGAGCCCGAGACCGGGGAGGCGCGACUCUCGGCCCACAGCCGCACCGCCGCCGGGUGCUGUCCGCCCUCCGAGACCCGCGCCAGAGCCUUUGAAACUGGCAGAGGACGCUGCACCAGGAAAUCUGUGGACUUGGGAUGAGGCAAGCCCCUGGACUGCUCUGAGGACAGGGCUCUGGAUACUGGAGACCAUUGCUGGGCUCAUGCUUGGCCUCUUGCAGUAGAGACCUGGACACCAGAGUGACCAGAUGCCUGGGCUGAGCAGAGAUAGUCAAUAGGAAGGACAUUGAGGCACCCUGUGGGUGUGAGUACACAGAGGUGAGGCUCGCUGGGGCUAAGGACCCUCUAGGGAAGAGGCACCUUCUGAGCUUCUCUGAGAUCUUGUCAGACUCAAACUCCACUUCCCUCAGGUUACUGAACUGUGUGGUGUAUUUCUCCUAAACUUGUUUCAUUCUGUUUUGCCCCCACUUUGCUGGGACUUGAUGAUGCAGGGUGUGGACAUGGUGCUAAAUGCUUUCUUACCAUCUCAAGUAAUUUGAUCCUCACAAGGUUAGCUGUGGCCAGUCUUUUCUACGUUUGGCAGAAGAGAAAACUGAAGCUCACUGGAGUUAGAUCACUUAUCCAAAGUCACAGAGCUGGACAGUUCUGCAGCUAAAAUUCAAGCCAGGCUCUACACCCAGAUGAUACUGCUUUUGAGUGCUCUGUGCUGGUGCUGAGCAUGUGACUAAUGUAAUUACUAGUGCAGUGAGGUUGCAGGGGCAGCUUUCUUACCUGUGCAGAGUUAACAUAAGCCAGAUUUCCUCAGCUUCGGCACUACUGACAUUGGGACCAGAGAAUUCUUUGUUGAGGGGACUAUCUUGUGUGUUGUAGGAUGUUUGGCAGCAUCCCUGGUGUCUCCACCCACUAGGUGCCAGUAACACCCUCAUCUUUGCCUGGUUGUGACAACCCAGAAUAUCUCCAGACUUUGCUAAAAUAUAUCCUAGGAGACAAAAUUGAUCUUGGUCGAGGCAGAAUCACUGACAUGAACUAACGUUAAUUUACCAAUAAAGAAAAAACUGUGUGUGUGUAAUUUCUUUGU